This 264-nucleotide ribosomal RNA is filed under the name uncultured bacterium. RNAcentral's name for it is "partial 16S ribosomal RNA". It matches the Rfam family "Bacterial small subunit ribosomal RNA", at positions 793 to 1055 of the family's 1533-position model. The record is from RNAcentral.
GUCCACGCCCUAAACGAUGCGAACUGGAUGUUGGGAGCAACUUGGCUCUCAGUAUCGAAGCUAACGCGUUAAGUUCGCCGCCUGGGAAGUACGGUCGCAAGACUGAAACUCAAAGGAAUUGACGGGGGCCCGCACAAGCGGUGGAGUAUGUGGUUUAAUUCGAUGCAACGCGAAGAACCUUACCUGGUCUUGACAUCCACGGAACUUUCUAGAGAUAGAUUGGUGCCUUCGGGAACCGUGAGACAGGUGCUGCAUGGCUGUCGU